RNAcentral lists this long non-coding RNA (667 nucleotides) under Monodelphis domestica (gray short-tailed opossum). Its description in RNAcentral is "lncRNA (ENSMODG00000046377.1)". Lineage: Eukaryota; Metazoa; Chordata; Mammalia; Didelphimorphia; Didelphidae. The record is from RNAcentral.
AUGGAAGAUCUAUUGAAAAUGCUUCACGUUGGUGCUGAUGGAAAAGUAGAUGUGGCUAAACUGGAAGAGUCUCUGCAGGCUAUUAAAGAUGAGAAGAUUGAUGCCAAUAACUUAAACACAUUUCUGAAAAAUAUGGGUAUAGACAUCACAGGAGAAGAACUCAAAGAGCUGAAACAAAAUCUACCAACUGAUGGUGAGUUUUGAUGCUUAGAGAAUCUCUGGCUCCUAGAUCUUGAUAUGAGAAACUUCUUAAGUUCCAUGCAAUACCAUUUAUAAAGCACCAACCAUAUUCCAUUCAUACCUAUGUGACUCAAGUUUCUCCUGAUUCCAAAUCCACUAUACCAUGUUGCAUAGAAAAAUUAUUAACAAUACCAUGGUGUUCAUGAUAAGUAACAGAUGUGUGAUUCAGCUGAUGUAAAUUCUAUGUUGGUUGUAGCCUAUGGAAAACUCUGUAGUCUAAGGCUGCAAUAGUCAGGGGAGGCUUCUGGGAGAAGAGGAAGAAAGCUAACCAGACCCUAUUGGGACAGUAGUAUUGUAUGACAAAAUGUUUGAGCUCUUGGGAUUGAUAUUAGGAAAGGAGAACAGAAUAACAACAAACACAGGAAUGGAAUGUACAAAGCUAAUGGUUGUUUAGGGAAACAGUGAAUAAACCAGUUUAGCUAGUGCA